Molecule: long non-coding RNA, 181 nt
Organism: Nothoprocta perdicaria
Lineage: Eukaryota; Metazoa; Chordata; Aves; Tinamiformes; Tinamidae
Exons: 2
Source: RefSeq, a predicted model, not a curated record
UCUCUCGCUCUGACUAUCUCUCGCCUCCUGCUGCCGCCAGCCCUUCCCCCUCGACUGCAGACUCAAAAGCAUUCUCUUCAUCUGCUCCUCUCUCUUCCUCUGCCCUCUCUUCCUCUACUGUCACAACACAACCACCUCCCAGACUUACACGCAGAGUCAAUAAGGUAAUCAUCUUUGCUGA